Molecule: ribosomal RNA, 1489 nt
Filed under: Lactiplantibacillus plantarum
Lineage: Bacteria; Bacillati; Bacillota; Bacilli; Lactobacillales; Lactobacillaceae
Description: bacterial SSU rRNA
Rfam family: Bacterial small subunit ribosomal RNA
Source: RNAcentral
GACGAACGCUAGCGGCGUGCCUAAUACAUGCAAGUCGAACGAACUCUGGUAUUGAUUGGUGCUUGCAUCAUGAUUUACAUUUGAGUGAGUGGCGAACUGGUGAGUAACACGUGGGAAACCUGCCCAGAAGCGGGGGAUAACACCUGGAAACAGAUGCUAAUACCGCAUAACAACUUGGACCGCAUGGUCCGAGUUUGAAAGAUGGCUUCGGCUAUCACUUUUGGAUGGUCCCGCGGCGUAUUAGCUAGAUGGUGGGGUAACGGCUCACCAUGGCAAUGAUACGUAGCCGACCUGAGAGGGUAAUCGGCCACAUUGGGACUGAGACACGGCCCAAACUCCUACGGGAGGCAGCAGUAGGGAAUCUUCCACAAUGGACGAAAGUCUGAUGGAGCAACGCCGCGUGAGUGAAGAAGGGUUUCGGCUCGUAAAACUCUGUUGUUAAAGAAGAACAUAUCUGAGAGUAACUGUUCAGGUAUUGACGGUAUUUAACCAGAAAGCCACGGCUAACUACGUGCCAGCAGCCGCGGUAAUACGUAGGUGGCAAGCGUUGUCCGGAUUUAUUGGGCGUAAAGCGAGCGCAGGCGGUUUUUUAAGUCUGAUGUGAAAGCCUUCGGCUCAACCGAAGAAGUGCAUCGGAAACUGGGAAACUUGAGUGCAGAAGAGGACAGUGGAACUCCAUGUGUAGCGGUGAAAUGCGUAGAUAUAUGGAAGAACACCAGUGGCGAAGGCGGCUGUCUGGUCUGUAACUGACGCUGAGGCUCGAAAGUAUGGGUAGCAAACAGGAUUAGAUACCCUGGUAGUCCAUACCGUAAACGAUGAAUGCUAAGUGUUGGAGGGUUUCCGCCCUUCAGUGCUGCAGCUAACGCAUUAAGCAUUCCGCCUGGGGAGUACGGCCGCAAGGCUGAAACUCAAAGGAAUUGACGGGGGCCCGCACAAGCGGUGGAGCAUGUGGUUUAAUUCGAAGCUACGCGAAGAACCUUACCAGGUCUUGACAUACUAUGCAAAUCUAAGAGAUUAGACGUUCCCUUCGGGGACAUGGAUACAGGUGGUGCAUGGUUGUCGUCAGCUCGUGUCGUGAGAUGUUGGGUUAAGUCCCGCAACGAGCGCAACCCUUAUUAUCAGUUGCCAGCAUUAAGUUGGGCACUCUGGUGAGACUGCCGGUGACAAACCGGAGGAAGGUGGGGAUGACGUCAAAUCAUCAUGCCCCUUAUGACCUGGGCUACACACGUGCUACAAUGGAUGGUACAACGAGUUGCGAACUCGCGAGAGUAAGCUAAUCUCUUAAAGCCAUUCUCAGUUCGGAUCGUAGGCUGCAACUCGCCUACAUGAAGUCGGAAUCGCUAGUAAUCGCGGAUCAGCAUGCCGCGGUGAAUACGUUCCCGGGCCUUGUACACACCGCCCGUCACACCAUGAGAGUUUGUAACACCCAAAGUCGGUGGGGUAACCUUUUAGGAACCAGCCGCCUAAGGUGGGACAGAUGAUUAGGGUG